This 18-nucleotide unclassified non-coding RNA is filed under the name Mus musculus (house mouse). RNAcentral's name for it is "oocyte_clustered_small_RNA4445". The record is from RNAcentral. Lineage: Eukaryota; Metazoa; Chordata; Mammalia; Rodentia; Muridae.
UGCCAUCCGCACCAGUGU